This 205-nucleotide non-coding RNA is filed under the name Anaerotruncus sp. CAG:390. The record is from RNAcentral. Lineage: Bacteria; Bacillati; Bacillota; Clostridia; Eubacteriales; Oscillospiraceae. RNAcentral also lists the same sequence under 1 other name.
AAUAUCUGAUGAAAAUACGGUUUGAAAAGUUAUUAGCUGAGUAGAUGAAAAGGAAAUCAGGUUCGAAUCCUGAACAACCGCCAUUACUGUAUUUGACGUGUAAGAGCUGUAGCGCCGCGAGGCAUACUGCCCUCAGUCCGGCUUUGCCCGAAAAAGGCAUAGCCAUAUCAUAAGUCAGAAUACCUGCCGUAUUUGGUGCCAUCUU